GAUGAACGCUGGCGGCGUGCCUAAUACAUGCAAGUCGAGCGAACAGACGAGGAGCUUGCUCCUCUGACGUUAGCGACGGACGGGGGAGUAACACGUGGAUAACCUACCUAUAAGACUGGGAUAACUUCGUGAAACCGGAGCUAAUACCGGGUAAUAUAUGGAACCGCAUGGUUCAAUAGUGAAAGACGGUUUUGCUGUCACUUAUAGAUGGAUCCGCGCCGCAUUAGCUAGUUGGUAAGGUAACGGCGUACCACGGCAACGAUGCGUAGCCGACCUGCAAGGGUGAUCUGACAAACUGGACUUGAGACACGGUCCAGACCCCUACGGGAGGCAGCAGUAGGGAAUCUCUACCAAUGGGCGAAAGCCUGACGGAGCAACGCCGCGUGAGUGCUGAAGGUCUUCGGAUCGUAAAACUCUGUUAUUAGGGAAGAACAAAUGUGUAAGUAACUCUGCACGUCUUGACGGUACCUAAUCAGAAAGCCACGGCUAAAUACGUG
Molecule: ribosomal RNA, 497 nt
Filed under: uncultured bacterium
Lineage: Bacteria
Description: partial 16S ribosomal RNA
Rfam family: Bacterial small subunit ribosomal RNA
Source: RNAcentral